AAGAAAAUGAUUACUUACAAAGUCGCAAUCAAGCUUGUUGCAGGUGCCGGCAGGGACACCAGCCUCUCAUGAAGAAAAAUUACUGAUAUAACUACAAGAAGUCUAACCACAAAAGAGUAAAAACUGGUUAUCAGAGGAAAUGAUAGAAAUUUCCUUCUUUGCUAACACACGCGAAAAUUAGUUAUCUUAAGACCUUCCUGAGCCGUAUCAACAGGUUACACAACAAUAAAAACUUGCAUUACACACGGCGACUGGUGGUAAAUGCAAGAUCACAGAGGAAAAGUGUCUAUUCACACCAACGUCUUGUGCAUCGACUUAGUCAUCCUUUUUCAGUUUCAACUUUGCUUCGACAUCACCACUGUAAGGAGCCACGUGGUAUGCAUAUUGCUGCAUAACAGAAAAGAAAACCAUCUCCACACAAAUUAAAACAUUCUGAAUGGCUUCCUGAAGGUGCUCCACAUCCAACCAAAAAUGGUGAGAUUUGAUAAUUCCCCACGAGACUAGAAUUUUAACCAGCAACCCCUGCCAAAAGCUGAAGAAAACUAUCCCUUUAAUGCAGAUGAACUUUGAAAGUGGUUUGUGUGGCUGCAGUUCCUUUGAGAAAACAUGGUAGAAAACAACCAAGGAGUACAUGGCCACUGAGAAUGAAAUAUUGAGAAUGAUGGUAAACGUCCAGCUGAGCCAAUUCGGAUACAACCCAAGAAUCUGCAACGUGAUCAUCAAGAUAGAGCAUGCUGGACGGAUAAUGACAAACUGCCAUGUCCAAUGCUUGAGAAGUUUCAGUGUCCGGUGAUCUAAGUGAGCAGUGCGAGGCUGAAAUAGAGUCAUCGGAAAGGAAUGAUGAAUUUCCCUCCCCUUGAUUUCAUCAGGCACAAUGUUUUUGCUGAUGGAUAUAUUCAAAUAACUAUACAUCAAAGCCAAAAAUUUGGCAAUUGCCACAGCCUCAUAGCAUUCUUUAACUGAGUCUAGAAACAUGAAAAAUGUUUUGCUUCCACGAAUAUCUAACAAACCCACAAACGAGUCAAUGGCAUAAAGGGGAGCCAUACAUAUAAUCAUGAUUAUUGCCUUUUGCUCCUUUGGGUUUUUCCAGAAGAAGAGGUGUUGUGACAAGAGCUGUAUCGUGAAAUGCAUCGAAAGCAAAGCAGAAAAUCCUGAUCCCACCAUAGUGAGUUGUGCACGGUCCAUACUAGCAAAGUCCAUAUUUUACCAAGCCUUGCAAGAACACAACACAAAGCUCCUCAGUAUAAUAAAUCAAGAAUGAAGAUAGUGACAACAAAUUCGUGCAGAGUAUUGUGAAUCUACUA
Molecule: unclassified non-coding RNA, 1304 nt
Filed under: Hevea brasiliensis (rubber tree)
Lineage: Eukaryota; Viridiplantae; Streptophyta; Magnoliopsida; Malpighiales; Euphorbiaceae
Source: RNAcentral